Molecule: ribosomal RNA, 624 nt
Filed under: Triticum aestivum (bread wheat)
Lineage: Eukaryota; Viridiplantae; Streptophyta; Magnoliopsida; Poales; Poaceae
Description: partial small subunit ribosomal RNA
Source: RNAcentral
AUGCUGAACAUCGUCACCGUCCGUUGCGGGCACUGCACUAGCCUGCUGUCGGUAAACUUGAGGGGAUUAAUCCAGUCGCCACCUGUGCAAGAUCAUUCCCAGGAGAAUUUCAAGGCCCACAAUAUCAGCUUUCGUGGAAAUUACCCGGACUAUGGCACAUCUUCUAAAUACCGGAUGCCAAUGAUGUUCUCAACAAAAAGUGACCAAGAGCAUAUGCUCCACAUGAGACCAGCUCCAGAGAAGAGGCAGCGGGUUCCUUCAGCGUAUAACCGAUUUAUUAAGGAGGAGAUACGAAGGAUAAAAACAAACAAUCCUGACAUAAGCCACAGAGAAGCCUUCAGCACCGCAGCAAAGAAUUGGGCGCAUUUCCCAAACAUUCAUUUCGGGCUAGGCUCCAAUGAGAGCAGCAAGAAGCUGGACGAGGCCAUCGCGGCACCUACCCCCCAGAAAGUUCAAGAGAAGUUUAACAAGGUUUACAAGUCCGAAGGCCAAAAUAAAAGCUUUCAAUCAUGGCAUAAAAUUACGCAAGUGUUUUGCUCCGGCCAAUGCCCAAUUUCGCGCCUCGUUACAGAAUUUGGAUAUGAUGAUGUGAGGCGGUGUGGAAAUGUUGUGGAAGACUCUUGA